CCCGAUUUACGAGUUUCCUGGUUUUUUCAAUGGCCAUACAGCUCAGCGCACCGCGCCAAAAAAUUCUCUUCAGGAAGGAGGACCAGAACACCGUUGUUCUGGGGCACAAGGCAGCAAACGCAUCCAAGUCUCUUUUUAUAUUCCACAACAAGUCCGCACUCCUUCUGUAAGCAAGGUCAUUUUCCCCUAAUUGAAUGACAAGGAUGCCGGGAGGGCCGAACGUGGCGACUUUUUCCCACAGCAAUGGCAU
Non-coding RNA from Podarcis lilfordi (Lilford's wall lizard), 250 nucleotides. NCBI's taxonomy places the organism in Eukaryota, Metazoa, Chordata, Lepidosauria, Squamata, Lacertidae. The record is from the annotation of a GenBank genome assembly.